Molecule: ribosomal RNA, 406 nt
Filed under: uncultured bacterium
Lineage: Bacteria
Description: partial 16S ribosomal RNA
Rfam family: Bacterial small subunit ribosomal RNA
Source: RNAcentral
AUUGAACGCUGGCGGCAGGCCUAACACAUGCAAGUCGAGCGAGCGGCGGACGGGUGAGUAGUUUAUGAAGAUCUGCCCGAUAGAGGGGUAUAACUACUGGAAACGGUGGAUAAUACCGCAUACUCUCGGAUGACCCCAUAGGGGAUGAGCUAGUCGGGGGGGUAAAGGCUCACCUAGGCGACGAUCUCUAGCUGGUCUGAGAGGAUGAUCAGCCACACUGGGACUGAGACACGGCCCAGACUCCUACGGGAGGCAGCAGUGGGGAAUAUUGCACAAUGGGCGCAAGCCUGAUGCAGCCAUGCCGCGUGUAUGAAGAAGGCCUUAGGGUUGUAAAGCACUUUCAGCGGGGAGGCGUUACCCGCAGAAGAAGCAACGGCUAACUCCGUGCCAGCAGCCGCGGUAAUAC